CUACGGGUGGCUGCAGUGAGGAAUAUUGCACAAUGGGGGGAACCCUGAUGCAGCAACGCCGCGUGGAGGAUGACGCAUUUCGGUGUGUAAACUCCUUUUAUAUGUCAAGAAAAUGACGGUAGCAUAUGAAUAAGCGCCGGCUAACUCCGUGCCAGCAGCCGCGGUAAUACGGAGGGCGCAAGCGUUACUCGGAAUCACUGGGCGUAAAGGACGCGUAGGCGGGUUGAAAAGUCAGGUGUGAAAGCCUACAGCUUAACUGUAGAACUGCACUUGAAACUCUCAACCUAGAGUAUGGGAGGGGCAGAUGGAAUUAGUGGUGUAGGGGUAAAAUCCGUAGAUAUCACUAGGAAUACCUAAAGCGAAGGCGAUCUGCUGGAACAUUACUGUCGCUAAGGCGUGAAAGCGUGGGGAGCAAACAGGAUUAGAUACCCCUGUAGUC
RNAcentral lists this ribosomal RNA (439 nucleotides) under uncultured bacterium. Its description in RNAcentral is "partial 16S ribosomal RNA". It matches the Rfam family "Bacterial small subunit ribosomal RNA", at positions 339 to 795 of the family's 1533-position model. The record is from RNAcentral.